RNAcentral lists this ribosomal RNA (254 nucleotides) under uncultured bacterium. RNAcentral's name for it is "partial 16S ribosomal RNA". It matches the Rfam family "Bacterial small subunit ribosomal RNA", at positions 524 to 776 of the family's 1533-position model. The record is from RNAcentral.
UACGUAGGGGGCAAGCGUUGUCCGGAUUUAUUGGGCGUAAAGAGCUCGUAGGCGGUUUGGUAAGUCUGGUGUGAAAUCUCCACGCUCAACGUGGAGGGGCCACCCGAUACUGCCAUGACUGGAGUCCGGUAGAGGAGUGUGGAAUUCCCGGUGUAGCGGUGAAAUGCGCAGAUAUCAGGAGGAACACCGGUGGCGAAGGCGGAUCUCUGGGCCAUUACUGACGCUGAGGAGCGAAAGCGUGGGGAGCGAACAGG